UGAGGAAUAUUGGUCAAUGGACGUAAGUCUGAACCAGCCAAGUAGCGUGCAGGAAGACGGCCCUAUGGGUUGUAAACUGCUUUUAUGCGGGGGUAAAGUGAGUGACGUGUCAUUCAUUGCAAGUACCGCAAGAAUAAGGACCGGCUAAUUCCGUGCCCG
RNAcentral lists this ribosomal RNA (159 nucleotides) under uncultured bacterium. RNAcentral's name for it is "partial 16S rRNA". It matches the Rfam family "Bacterial small subunit ribosomal RNA", at positions 355 to 511 of the family's 1533-position model. The record is from RNAcentral.